Molecule: long non-coding RNA, 3620 nt
Filed under: Sparus aurata (gilthead seabream)
Lineage: Eukaryota; Metazoa; Chordata; Actinopteri; Spariformes; Sparidae
Description: lncRNA (ENSSAUG00010018792.1)
Source: RNAcentral
AUGGGUACGGUGGCUCUCUCCAUCUGUGCCCACCAGCUUAAUGUAGACAUCGUUAUAAGUGGUGGCACGGUUGAGGCUACCUGUGAACACGGACAAUUCAUAAUCCACCAUUUCCACUCUGAAAAGCAGAAGAAUCCUGAUUGGGAGAGAAUUGUCAUGAUCUGGGUCUCGGCAGUAUCUUCUCUCCCUGUGUUGUCUCUCUCCCUGUGUCUGUCUGAUCCUCCUGUCUCCCCCUCCCCUGUCUGUGUUGUCUGUGCAUGGGCGUGGCUACUCUCUCCUGUAGGAAGCACCAGGUGGGACACAUCCAGCAAUCAACUCCUCCAUAAAGCCUCUGGACCUUCAGUCACUCAUCGCCAGAUCCUACUAUCAGUCAUAGCGUGUUUCUACUGCUCCUUCCUUCCCGCCUGCCUGCCUGCCUACCAGUCUAAAGCCCCUGCCUACGUUUUGGGUCGAGUCAUCGACAUCUACGUGCCCGCCCGGGUUCCUGUGCUUCCCUGUGGCGUGGCUACGCGGCGCCGCCAUUGCCUCCAGGGGACGCCAAGCCACGAGUCGUCGUUUCUACUACCCACUACGAUUCCUAAUAUUACAAUAAAUAUUGACUGUACUAAAGCUGCCUGAGUCUCGAGUCGUGCAUUUUGGGUUCGGCCUCUGUUGAUAUCAUAACAAGAAUAAUAAAAAAACUAUCUCAGCACCAAUUAGGUUAACUUUCAUUAUACAUGAACCUGAUUGCAAAAAAAACUUUCUGUGCUGAUUUCAUAGCAACAUUUAGUCCAGGUGUUACAAAGUGAAAUUAUUUCAUAAAGCAUUUUUCUUAUCUGUUAAUGAGUUCAUAUGAUGAACGGCACUUUUGAUCACAUGAUGUUCAGUCAGUACCAGUAAGUCAACUGUGCUGAGAAUCAGCUGCCCAAGUUGAUGGAAAAAAGUUGAGAUAUCUGUUUGAAGUUACAUAAAAAAAGUAUUGCAGUAUUGCCGAGUAAAAGCAACUUUAUCUGUAUCUCUCCAUACUCCAUAUCUGAUCAACCGAAUGUUCGUUUUUAUACUUUUAUCGGAUCAAUCCAAGUUUGUGUGUGCCAUUUCCUUAUAAAAGGUUAUCAUCUGACAUCAUAAAAGUUUGUUCUGACAUUUUUAAAGAACAGGAAAUACUGCACUGCAAGUGUUUCAGUUUAACCGUGUUCCAGGUGAACCAGUGACCUUGUUAACUGGUGACCUUUGGCUGAAUGCAUCUGUAGCCCUUUUCACACAGAGACUCUGCAUAAUCGCUGCAACCAAGAUUUGCCCUUUCUCCGCCUUUGUUGUGUUCACACUAAACCAAGUGCUGUGGAACCAAAAGAGGCGUGUUGGUACACAUCAUGAUCUUGAUAUCUGGUUUUUUAAAUUUUUUUUUUUACGUGUUUACACUUAAUCUAAGAGCAUUAAUCUAAGCAUGUGUCCAUCGACAGUUUAUAAUCAUAUGGAUGCAGUUAUAAUGUGUUGUUAUUAAGAUCCUGACACACCAUGCAUCCUAGAAAAUGACAAAGAUAUUGUUGUUUCUGGCCUGUCUUCAUCGAAGGUGUCGGUGUAUAGUUUGAUGAUGAAAAAAUUCUGCGGAGGCAAGGCUAGGUGGAAUGAUAGAGCAAUCUUUAUUGAAACAGAUCUCAAGCCUGCAUCCGAACCAGGGUGGCCGCCCCCUAAAUUCUGCCCUCUGGAAGUGUCAAUGGGGCUUGUGGUAACCAGUGACAAAAACUAGCUUGAACCUCUACAGGCUCCUAGCCCCACAAUGGAUCCAAUUCAAAAUUUUCACUCAUAGAGUCAUCCAUAACCAGGCCCCUUCCCACCCCACUCACCUGCUCCACCGCCACACCUCCUCUUGCAGCCUUCGCUCCUCUGAUGCCUAAUCUUCUGUCUGCACCACUUAGGAUUAAGCACCAUACCUGGGACCUUUGAAUAGCUGCCCCUCCCUCUGGGACUUUCCCCAACCACAUGUGGAACUGAAAGGUCACUCUCAAGAGCACCUUACCAUGUUUAGAUUCCUGGUAGGACAGGAAAUAUGUAUAUGUACGACCAUUUCAUGAGAGGGCAACAAAAUAGACAUUUAUACUACUCAUUUGAUACGGCAAAUAAAAAACAAACACUCAAAGAAUACAAUGAGUUCACUCAAGCAAUACAGGCAAAGACACCGAAGCAGCAAACACUUGCAGAUACUUUCAAAAGUAAAAGAGAAAUACCCUCGAGACAGUGACAUGGCCAAAAAAAUUAUGGAGAAGGUAAUUAAAUUAAUCGCUCUGGAUAACCAGCUCAUCUCUGUGGUAGAGGGUCAGGGUUUUCUUCGUCAUCUGGAGUUUUUGAAUCCCUGGUAUGUCCUACCAUCUCGGCAUUACAUUACAUUGACUCCACUUUUGAGUUACAACUUGCUGGUAUGCGCACUAGUUUUGUGGGUCUCAUACAGCAGAGCAUGUAAAACUGGCAACCGAGAAGACGCUGAACACGUGUGAAAUAAACAAGCAACGCGUCCACGUCAUUUUAAGUGUCAACGUAAGGAAUAUGAUAAAAGCAUCGGAUGAUAUGGAAGUAUGAAGCGUGGGCUGCGUCUUGCACAUACGUCAGCUGGCUGUACACAAGGGUCUGCUGUCACAGUGCAGCGUCACAGACUCACCUGCUAACACAAGGAAGAUGGUAGGCCAGUGUUGCAGUAACAUAUGCAAAGAGCCAUUUGAAAGUAUAUACUUUGUUUCAACAAAAUAAAAAAAACUAUUAAGGAACAGCUUGGAUGCAGGUACUUUGUUUUCUUAAUGCAGUUGUAUUAUCUACGAAAAUAUUAGUUCAGGCUAGGUAUCGGAUCGGGACUUGGUAUCGGCAGAUACUGAAUAUUAAAGGACUCGGAUCGGGAUCAGGGUAAAAAAAACCUGAUCGGGACAUCCCUAAUAAUAACGUUGUCUUCUAUGGUCAUUAGAACAAGUGUGAACGUAGGUCAGCUUCGCCGACGACCUCUUGCCGAGAUAAAGGGGAACAGUCUGCUUUCAGUUCACUCAUUGCCCAAGAUUCCAAAAACAACAAAAAACGGAAGCGGUUCAGAAGCAAAGGGAUUUAUUUCUCUUAACUGCUUCCUUCUAGUCAUUUUAGAAGUCUUGGGCACUGAGUGAACUCACUAGAUCCUUUCUCUGAAAGGGGAGGCAGUUUAGAAAAAUAACUUUCUCUUUCUCUGAACUGCUUCCCUUUUCCCUUCCUUAAAAUUAGAGUGCAAGUUUUCGAAGAACUUCCAAAUAUAAAUUGAAGAUUAAUGAGGAAUUCCUGAAAAUUAAAAAGAAUAUUGUGUUUAGAUAAUUAGAUUAAAAGUUAAUUCAUAUUUGAACUUUCACAAUAAAAUGGUACAUUAAUGAGCACAUAUUUCACCAUUAGGAUUUGUUUUUCAGUAAAGCCCACCUGUGUUUUUCUUGGAGAGGAAUCCAUGAACAAAAAUGUCCGAAAUCCACUUCUGCAGUUCAGAGUCUUGCUUGACCUCAGCAUCAUUCUUGUAGUAGUAGCCGAGCACUCCCUGCACAAACCUUUGAGAAAUAAAACACAUUCCUAACUGACUUACACAUUUUUAUACACACUGCAGUAGAAACACACUUGUAAUGCUAACAGAACAAAUAGAUCAAAUU